UGGGGAAUAUUGGACAAUGGGCGAAAGCCUGAUCCAGCCAUGCCGCGUGUGUGAAGAAGGUCUUCGGAUUGUAAAGCACUUUAAGUUGGGAGGAAGGGCAGUUACCUAAUACGUGAUUGUUUUGACGUUACCGACAGAAUAAGCACCGGCUAACUCUGUGCCAGCAGCCGCGGUAAUACAGAGGGUGCAAGCGUUAAUCGGAAUUACUGGGCGUAAAGCGCGCGUAGGUGGUUAGUUAAGUUGGAUGUGAAAUCCCCGGGCUUAACCUGGGAACUGCAUUCAAAACUGACUGACUAGAGUAUGGUAGAGGGUGGUGGAAUUUCCUGUGUAGCGGUGAAAUGCGUAGAUAUAGGAAGGAACACCAGUGGCGAAGGCGACCACCUGGACUGAUACUGACACUGAGGUGCGAAAGCGUGGGGAGCAAACAGGAUUAGAUACCGGUAGUCCCUGAGCGGGCUGGCAAGGCGCAU
RNAcentral lists this ribosomal RNA (470 nucleotides) under uncultured bacterium. RNAcentral's name for it is "bacterial SSU rRNA". It matches the Rfam family "Bacterial small subunit ribosomal RNA", at positions 355 to 825 of the family's 1533-position model. The record is from RNAcentral.